This is a long non-coding RNA of Homo sapiens (human), 1041 nucleotides long. Lineage: Eukaryota; Metazoa; Chordata; Mammalia; Primates; Hominidae. The record is from Ensembl.
ACCUGGCCAGUGCAGAGCCGUGGGUGCCACGUGGCCACUUCUGGAUUGGGUUCCCCUUGGCCUGCCACCCUGUCCUUCUGCUUUCCCACUUUGCCAGCCAGAGUCAAUUUGAGGACGCCAAGUUCUCCUCUCCAUACAGAGCUCCUGGUCUCCUUGUAACUUGUAACUCCUGGGCACAGUUACAAGUGCUGAAUUCUUGCGAGGAUGAACUCAAGAUACAAAAUAUGCUUGGCAACUCACCCCUGAGUGGCCACAGGCACACGCAGGAGUCGAACCCACCCACCUCUGCUGACAGUCAUGGGUCAAGCUCAAAGUCCUGGCUGCUUCUCUGCUCAAGAUCUGUGCCCGCAGAGAGAGCCUGCUCCAGCCUCUUUGCUACAGCCUUGAGUCUUCUGCUGGGUCCUUUCCAACCAAGAACCUAUGGGGUCUAGUCUUCCCCUACACUGCCUUUCACUCACCACUGGGCUGCCUGCUUUAAGCUAGGAAUCAAGAGACAGUGGCCUUCCACAGGUGCCUCGACAGGUGCCUCAGCUUCCAAACAGACACAGGAAGGACCCCAGCAUGGUAGCAUUCAUCUCAUUCACCUUUAUUGGGUUAAAAGUGUGUGAGACACAAAACUGAAACUUGAAAGUUAAGAAACUUGAAAGUUAAGUAACAGCUUUUCUCUGUCUUCGUAUUUUUCUCCCAAAUACAUGCAAUCUCUAGAGAACUUCAAGAAAACUUCCUCUCUAAGCAGCAGAGAAUAGCUUGCAGAAGAGGGAAAAAUUCAAGAUCUAUUGUAUUUUAUUGAUUUAUACCUGGUUUUGUUCCAAAAUUGUUGUUAGCUGCAUGCAUAAUUAACUCUACCACUGACUGCCGUGUAACUUACUCCAAGUUCUCUUUAUUGUAGUUUCAUGCACGGCCUUGGCAUAUCCAAAGAUUAAUGAAGAUGGAUCCAAAUCCUUACUACUAAGCAAAAAGCCUCCAAGCAAAUAACAAUGGACUGAAGAGUUACCUUUGUAGGCAUAAACGUAUCAUUACAAUUAAAGAGAUGUCAAAUGA